This 427-nucleotide ribosomal RNA is filed under the name uncultured bacterium. RNAcentral's name for it is "partial 16S ribosomal RNA". It matches the Rfam family "Bacterial small subunit ribosomal RNA", at positions 355 to 774 of the family's 1533-position model. The record is from RNAcentral.
UGGGGAAUAUUGCACAAUGGGCGCAAGCCUGAUGCAGCCAUGCCGCGUGUAUGAAGAAGGCCUUCGGGUUGUAAAGUACUUUCAGCGGGGAGGAAGGUGUUGUGGUUAAUAACCACAGCAAUUGACGUUACCCGCAGAAGAAGCACCGGCUAACUCCGUGCCAGCAGCCGCGGUAAUACGGAGGGGGCAAGCGUUAAGCGGAAUUACUGGGCGUAAAGCGCACGCAGGCGGUCUGUCAAGUCGGAUGUGAAAUCCCCGGGCUCAACCUGGGAACUGCAUCCGAAACUGGCAGGCUUGAGUCUUGUAGAGGGGGGUAGAAUUCCAGGUGUAGCGGUGAAAUGCGUAGAGAUCUGGAGGAAUACCGGUGGCGAAGGCGGCCCCCUGGACAAAGACUGACGCUCAGGUGCGAAAGCGUGGGGAGCAAACA